This 426-nucleotide ribosomal RNA is filed under the name uncultured bacterium. Its description in RNAcentral is "bacterial SSU rRNA". It matches the Rfam family "Bacterial small subunit ribosomal RNA", at positions 354 to 796 of the family's 1533-position model. The record is from RNAcentral.
GUGAGGAAUUUUCCGCAAUGGGCGAAAGCCUGACGGAGCAAUGCCGCGUGAAGGAUGAAGGCCUAUGGGUUGUAAACUUCUUUUCUCAGAAAAGAAUUAUGACGGUAUCUGAGGAAUAAGCAUCGGCUAACUCUGUGCCAGCAGCCGCGGUAAGACAGAGGAUGCAAGCGUUAUCCGGAAUGAUUGGGCGUAAAGCGUCUGUAGGUUGUUUAAAAAGUAUUCUGUCAAAGAUUAGGGCUUAACCCUAGAUAGGCAGAAUAAACUUUUAAGCUAGAGUUUGGUAGAGGAAGAGGGAAUUCCCGGUGGAGCGGUGAAAUGCGUAGAUAUCGGGAGGAACACCAAAGGCGAAGGCACUCUGCUGGGCCAAUACUAACACUGAGAGACGAAAGCGAGGGGAGCAAAUGGGAUUAGAAACCCGUGUAGUCC